Molecule: non-coding RNA, 73 nt
Organism: Bos taurus (domestic cattle)
Lineage: Eukaryota; Metazoa; Chordata; Mammalia; Artiodactyla; Bovidae
Source: Rfam
UCCCUGGUGGUCCAGUGGCUAAGACUCUGUGCUUCCAAUGCAGGGAGUCUGGGUUCGAUCCCUGGUCAGGGAU